GACGAACGCUGGCGGCAUGCCCUAACACAUGCAAGUCGAACGGCUCUUCGGAGCAGUGGCGCACGGGUGAGUAACGCGUGGGAACCUACCCCCGAGGUACGGAAUAACGGCUGGAAACGGCCGCUAAUACCGUAUGUGUCCUAAGGGAGAAAGAUUUAUCGCCUUGGGAGGGGCCCGCGUCCGAUUAGCUAGUUGGUGAGGUAAUGGCCCACCAAGGCAGUGAUCGGUAGCUGGUCUGAGAGGAUGAUCAGCCACACUGGGACUGAGACACGGCCCAGACUCCUACAGGAGGCAGCAGUGGGGAAUAUUGGACAAUGGGCGCAAGCCUGAUCCAGCAAUGCCGCGUGUGUGAUGAAGGCCCUAGGGUUGUAAAGCACUUUCGCCGAUGACGAUGAUGACGGUAGUCGGAUAAGAAGCCCCGGCUAACUCCGUG
This 433-nucleotide ribosomal RNA is filed under the name uncultured bacterium. RNAcentral's name for it is "bacterial SSU rRNA". It matches the Rfam family "Bacterial small subunit ribosomal RNA", at positions 28 to 507 of the family's 1533-position model. The record is from RNAcentral.